CUUGUUGGUAGGGUAACGGCCUACCAAGGCGACGAUGCGUAGCCGACCUGAGAGGGUGACCGGCCACACUGGGACUGAGACACGGCCCAGACUCCUACGGGAGGCAGCAGUAGGGAAUUUUCGGCAAUGGGAAACCCUGACCGAGCAACGCCGCGUGAAGGAAGAAGUAAUUCGUUAUGUAAACUUCUGUCAUAGAGGAAGAACGGUGGAUAUAGGGAAUGAUAUCCAAGUGACGGUACUCUAUAAGAAAGCCACGGCUAAUUACGUGCCAGCAGCCGCGGUAAUACGUAGGUGGCGAGCGUUAUCCGGAAUUAUUGGGCGUAAAGAGGGAGCAGGCGGCACUAAGGGUCUGUGGUGAAAGAUCGAAGCUUAACUUCGGUAAGCCAUGGAAACCGUAGAGCUAGAGUGUGUGAGAGGAUCGUGGAAUUCCAUGUGUAGCGGUGAAAUGCGUAGAUAUAUGGAGGAACACCAGUGGCGAAGGCGACGAUCUGGCGCAUAACUGACGCUCAGUCCCGAAAGCGUGGGGAGCAAAUAGGAUUAGAUACCCUAGUAGUCCACGCCGUAAACGAUGAGUACUAAGUGUUGGGGGUCAAACCUCAGUGCUGCAGUAAACGCAAUAAGUACUCCGCCUGAGUAGUACGUUCGCAAGAAUGAAACUCAAAGGAAUUGACGGGGGCCCGCACAAGCGGUGGAGCAUGUGGUUUAAUUCGAGGCAACGCGAAGAACCUUACCAGGUCUUGACAUCGAUCUAAAGGCUCCAGAGAUGGAGAGAUAGCUAUAGAGAAGACAGGUGGUGCAUGGUUGUCGUCAGCUCGUGUCGUGAGAUGUUGGGUUAAGUCCCGCAACGAGCGCAACCCCUGUUGCCAGUUGCCAGCAUUAAGUUGGGGACUCUGGCGAGACUGCCGGUGACAAGCCGGAGGAAGGCGGGGAUGACGUCAAAUCAUCAUGCCCCUUAUGACCUGGGCUACACACGUGCUACAAUGGACAGAGCAGAGGGAAGCGAAGCCGCGAGGUGGAGCGAAACCCAUAAAACUGUUCUCAGUUCGGACUGCAGUCUGCAACUCGACUGCACGAAGAUGGAAUCGCUAGUAAUCGCGAAUCAGCAUGUCGCGGUGAAUACGUUCUCGGGCCUUGUACACACCGCCCGUCACACCAUGAGAGUCGGUAACACCCGAAGCCGGUGGCCUAACCGCAAGGAAGGAGCUGUCUAAGGUGGGACUGAUGAUUGGGGUGAAGUCGUAACAAGGUA
Molecule: ribosomal RNA, 1249 nt
Filed under: metagenome
Description: bacterial SSU rRNA
Rfam family: Bacterial small subunit ribosomal RNA
Source: RNAcentral